CUGCAGAAAAAGCGCCGGCUAACUACGUGCCAGCAGCCGCGGUAAUACGUAGGGCGCAAGCGUUAUCCGGAAUUAUUGGGCGUAAAGAGCUCGUAGGCGGUUUGUCGCGUCUGCUGUGAAAUCCGGAGGCUCAACCUCCGGCCUGCAGUGGGUACGGGCAGACUAGAGUGCGGUAGGGGAGAUUGGAAUUCCUGGUGUAGCGGUGGAAUGCGCAGAUAUCAGGAGGAACACCGAUGGCGAAGGCAGAUCUCUGGGCCGUAACUGACGCUGAGGAGCGAAAGGGUGGGGAGCAAACAGGCUUAGAUACCCUGGUAGUCCACCCCGUAAACGUUGGGAACUAGUUGUGGGGUCCAUUCCACGGAUUCCGUGACGCAGCUAACGCAUUAAGUUCCCCGCCUGGGGAGUACGGCCGCAAGGCUAAAACUCAAAGGAAUUGACGGGGACCCGCACAAGCGGCGGAGCAUGCGGAUUAAUUCGAUGCAACGCGAAGAACCUUACCAAGGCUUGACAUAUACGAGAACGGGCCAGAAAUGGUCAACUCUUUGGACACUCGUAAACAGGUGGUGCAUGGUUGUCGUCAGCUCGUGUCGUGAGAUGUUGGGUUAAGUCCCGCAACGAGCGCAACCCUCGUUCUAUGUUGCCAGCACGUAAUGGUGGGAACUCAUGGGAUACUGCCGGGGUCAACUCGGAGGAAGGUGGGGAUGACGUCAAAUCAUCAUGCCCCUUAUGUCUUGGGCUUCACGCAUGCUACAAUGGCCGGUACAAAGGGCUGCAAUACCGCGAGGUGGAGCGAAUCCCAAAAAGCCGGUCCCAGUUCGGAUUGAGGUCUGCAACUCGACCUCAUGAAGUCGGAGUCGCUAGUAAUCGCAGAUCAGCAACGCUGCGGUGAAUACGUUCCCGGGUCUUGUACACACCGCCCGUCAAGUCAUGAAAGUCGGUAACACCUGAAGCCGGUGGCCUAACCCUUGUGGAGGGAGCCGUCGAAGGGGGGAUUCAGUU
This 999-nucleotide ribosomal RNA is filed under the name Microbacterium sp. RNAcentral describes it as "bacterial SSU rRNA". It matches the Rfam family "Bacterial small subunit ribosomal RNA", at positions 479 to 1474 of the family's 1533-position model. The record is from RNAcentral. Lineage: Bacteria; Bacillati; Actinomycetota; Actinomycetes; Micrococcales; Microbacteriaceae.